GACGAACGCUGGCGGCGUGCUUAACACAUGCAAGUCGAACGGAAAGGCCCUGCUUUUGUGGGGUGCUCGAGUGGCGAACGGGUGAGUAACACGUGAGUAACCUGCCCUUGACUUUGGGAUAACUUCAGGAAACUGGGGCUAAUACCGGAUAUGAGCUCCUGCUGCAUGGUGGGGGUUGGAAAGUUUCGGCGGUUGGGGAUGGACGCGCGGCUUAUCAGCUUGUUGGUGGGGUAGUGGCUUACCAAGGCUUUGACGGGUAGCCGGCCUGAGAGGGUGACCGGCCACAUUGGGACUGAGAUACGGCCCAGACUCCUACGGGAGGCAGCAGUGGGGAAUAUUGCACGAUGGGCGGAAGCCUGAUGCAGCAACGCCGCGUGCGGGAUGACGGCCUUCGGGUUGUAAACCGCUUUCGCCUGUGACGAAGUGUGAGUGACGGUAAUGGGUAAAGAAGCACCGGCUAACUACGUG
Molecule: ribosomal RNA, 468 nt
Filed under: uncultured bacterium
Lineage: Bacteria
Description: partial 16S ribosomal RNA
Rfam family: Bacterial small subunit ribosomal RNA
Source: RNAcentral